This 46-nucleotide non-coding RNA is filed under the name Schistosoma mansoni. The record is from RNAcentral. Lineage: Eukaryota; Metazoa; Platyhelminthes; Trematoda; Strigeidida; Schistosomatidae.
GCACUGCUUAGGAGUCCCACACUAGGACGAAACAGCCGUCCAGUAC